This 1289-nucleotide ribosomal RNA is filed under the name uncultured bacterium. RNAcentral's name for it is "bacterial SSU rRNA". It matches the Rfam family "Bacterial small subunit ribosomal RNA", at positions 97 to 1387 of the family's 1533-position model. The record is from RNAcentral.
GGCGGACGGGUGAGUAACGCGUGGGUAACCUGCCUCAUACGGGGGGAUAACAGUUAGAAAUGACUGCUAAUACCGCAUAAGCACACAGCUUCGCAUGAAGCAGUGUGAAAAACUCCGGUGGUAUGAGAUGGACCCGCGUCUGAUUAGGUAGUUGGUGGGGUAACGGCCCACCAAGCCGACGAUCAGUAGCCGACCUGAGAGGAAGGUCCCCCACAUUGGAACUGAGACACGGUCCAAACUCCUACGGGAGGCAGCAGUGAGGAAUAUUGGUCAAUGGACGCGAGUCUGAACCAGCCAAGUAGCGUGAAGGAUGACUGCCCUAUGGGUUGUAAACUUCUUUUAUAUGGGAAUAAAGUGGUCCACGUGUGGACUUUUGUAUGUACCAUAUGAAUAAGGAUCGGCUAACUCCGUGCCAGCAGCCGCGGUAAUACGGAGGAUCCGAGCGUUAUCCGGAUUUAUUGGGUUUAAAGGGAGCGUAGGCGGAUUGUUAAGUCAGUUGUGAAAGUUUGCGGCUCAACCGUAAAAUUGCAGUUGAUACUGGCAGUCUUGAGUGCAGUAGAGGUGGGCGGAAUUCGUGGUGUAGCGGUGAAAUGCUUAGAUAUCACGAAGAACUCCGAUUGCGAAGGUAGCUCACUGGAGUGUAACUGACGCUGAUGCUCGAAAGUGUGGGUAUCAAACAGGAUUAGAUACCCUGGUAGUCCACACAGUAAACGAAGAAUCCUCCCUGUUUGCGAUAUACAGUAAGCGGCCAAGCGAAAGCAUUAAAGUAUUCCCACCUGGGGAGUACCCCGGCAACGGGGAAACUCAAAAGGAAUUGACGGGGGCCCGCACAAGCGGAGGAACAUGUGGUUUAAUUCGAUGAUACGCGAGGAACCUUACCCGGGCUUAAAUUGCAAAUGAAUUAUGGGGAAACCCAUACGCCGCAAGGCAUUUGUGAAGGUGCUGCAUGGUUGUCGUCAGCUCGUGCCGUGAGGUGUCGGCUUAAGUGCCAUAACGAGCGCAACCCUUAUCUUCAGUUACUAACAGGUCAUGCUGAGGACUCUGGAGAGACUGCCGUCGUAAGAUGUGAGGAAGGUGGGGAUGACGUCAAAUCAGCACGGCCCUUACGUCCGGGGCUACACACGUGUUACAAUGGGGGGUACAGAAGGCCGCUACCUGGUGACAGGAUGCCAAUCCCAAAAACCUCUCUCAGUUCGGAUCGAAGUCUGCAACCCGACUUCGUGAAGCUGGAUUCGCUAGUAAUCGCGCAUCAGCCAUGGCGCGGUGAAUACGUUCCCGGGCCUUGCACA